This 468-nucleotide ribosomal RNA is filed under the name uncultured bacterium. Its description in RNAcentral is "partial 16S ribosomal RNA". It matches the Rfam family "Bacterial small subunit ribosomal RNA", at positions 28 to 507 of the family's 1533-position model. The record is from RNAcentral.
GACGAACGCUGGCGGCGUGCUUAACACAUGCAAGUCGAACGGAAAGGCCCUGCUUUCGUGGGGUGCCCGAGUGGCGAACGGGUGAGUAACACGUGAGUAACCUGCUCUUGACUUUGGGAUAACUUCAGGAAACUGGGGCUAAUACCGGAUAGGAGCCCCCGCUGCAUGGUGGGGGUUGGAAAGUUUCGGCGGUCGGGGAUGGACUCGCGGCUUAUCAGCUUGUUGGUGGGGUAGUGGCUUACCAAGGCUUUGACGGGUAGCCGGCCUGAGAGGGUGACCGGCCACAUUGCGACUGAGAUACGGCCCAGACUCCUACGGGAGGCAGCAGUGGGGAAUAUUGCACAAUGGGCGGAAGCCUGAUGCAGCAACGCCGCGUGCGGGAUGACGGCCUUCGGGUUGUAAACCGCUUUCGCCUGUGACGAAGCGUGAGUGACGGUAAUGGGUAAAGAAGCACCGGCUAACUACGUG